RNAcentral lists this unclassified non-coding RNA (552 nucleotides) under Hevea brasiliensis (rubber tree). Lineage: Eukaryota; Viridiplantae; Streptophyta; Magnoliopsida; Malpighiales; Euphorbiaceae. The record is from RNAcentral.
GAAUUAUUGCUUGCUUACUUACAUUAUGAUUGUAUAAUGUAGAACAUCAUGAAAGCAAAAUGCUUUUCAAGUCUCUCUCACCCUAACACAAACAAAAUUUGCACAUCGAUUCAUCAAGAAUCAUAUCUGUAUGUGUAAUUAGACGAAACCUUACAUGUACAGAAUCUUUCGUCAAUCAUCUUCAUAAUCAGGUGAGCUUUGAUCAAAGAGGUGUGUUGCUUAACUGUACAACUUCAACCCCAGCAAAGCCAAAAAAUGGUAGUGUGGGUUAAUGGAUGUCUAGUAGCUCGUUUGAAAAAUGUUUAUAUGAGUGGUUCAAGUAUUUUUUCACUUGUAUACUCAGAAUCAUCAACUACAAAUGGCUUCCACUGAGAGUUUCUUUAGAACGUUUCGACAUGGAUCACCUCCAAAAUUCUCUGGUGUUACCUGUACUGAGCAAGACUCUUUCCCAACACAAUUCUUUUUGAAAGCAUCAUAUGAGCGCGGAGCAUGGCAGCUUCCCUGCUGGAAGUUCCCACAAACUCCCUCUGGUGUUCCAAAGCUUGCAAAUUU